GGUACAGAGUCAGUGUGGAGGUUAUAUACAGGGGGUACCGGUACAGAGUCAGUGUGGAGGUUAUAUACAGGGGGUACCGGUACAGAGUCAGUGUGGAGGUUAUAUACAGGGGGUACCGGUACAGAGUCAGUGUGGAGGCUAUAUACAGGGGGUACAGGUACCGAGUCAGUGUGGAGGUUAUAUACAGGGGGUACAGGUACAGAGUCAGUGUGGAGGUUAUAUACAGGGGGUACCGGUACAGAGUCAGUGUGGAGGUUAUAUACAGGGGGUACCGGUACAGAGUCAGUGUGGAGGCUAUAUACAGGGGGUACCGGUACAGAGUCAAUGUGGAGGCUAUAUACAGGGGGUACCGGUACAGAGUCAAUGUGGAGGCUAUAUACAGGGGGUACCGGUACAGAGUCAAUGUGGAGGCUAUAUACAGGGGAUACCGGUACAGAGUCAAUG
RNAcentral lists this long non-coding RNA (444 nucleotides) under Salmo salar (Atlantic salmon). RNAcentral describes it as "lncRNA (ENSSSAG00000089558.1)". The record is from RNAcentral. Lineage: Eukaryota; Metazoa; Chordata; Actinopteri; Salmoniformes; Salmonidae.